This 407-nucleotide ribosomal RNA is filed under the name uncultured bacterium. RNAcentral describes it as "partial 16S ribosomal RNA". It matches the Rfam family "Bacterial small subunit ribosomal RNA", at positions 30 to 526 of the family's 1533-position model. The record is from RNAcentral.
AUUGAACGCUAGCGGGAUGCCUUACACAUGCAAGUCGAACGGAGUGGCGAACGGGUGAGUAAUGUAUCGGAACGUGCCCAGUAGCGGGGGAUAACUACUCGAAAGCGUAGCUAAUACCGCCUACUAUUGGAGCGGCCGGUAUGGGAUUAGCUAGUUGGUGGGGUAACGGCUCACCAAGGCGACGAUCCGUAGCUGGUUUGAGAGGACGACCAGCCACACUGGGACUGAGACACGGCCCAGACUCCUACGGGAGGCAGCAGUGGGGAAUUUUGGACAAUGGGGGAAACCCUGAUGCAGCCAUCCCGCGUGUGCGAAGAAGGCCUUCGGGUUGUAAAGCACUUUUGGCGGGGAAGCGUUACCUGCAGAAGAAGCACCGGCUAACUACGUGCCAGCAGCCGCGGUAAUUC